Molecule: long non-coding RNA, 2491 nt
Filed under: Setaria viridis
Lineage: Eukaryota; Viridiplantae; Streptophyta; Magnoliopsida; Poales; Poaceae
Description: long non-coding RNA (SVIR_LNC004614)
Source: RNAcentral
CAAGUGCCCUAGUGGCCGGGUGACGCGCUCCACAAGAUCGCGGCAGCCAUUGGAGGUGGUGUAUCAGUUGCUAAGGCACAACUUGGAAGGCUGUAGUCGGGCCGUGAACGUCGUCUCCAUCCACCAAUCGAGUUAUCCACGCCUCUCUCAUCGAAAGAUCGGGAAUCAACCCUAGCGGGUUCAUAUCAGUUGGUAAUCAGAGCAAGGUUUAUCGGUGAGAGACUUCUAGUUCGUUGCUGUUUUUAAUUUCCUAUAGUCCAGAAAAAGCCAAAAAAUUAGUAGAUUAGUUUACUCGCAAUCCUAUAAACCCUUUGAGCCUUUGCUAGCACUGCUUAGUUAGGGCUUGUUGAGUUUUUGGUUGCAUCGGUUGUGUCAAGUUGCUGGUCUUAGUUUUAGUCCUUUAGAGUUUCGAGUUCUUUUCACGUUCUAGUCACAGCCGUGUGCUACCAUAUAAAACCUUUUGUUGGCUGAAUCUGAAUACAUAUUUGUGCUCAAGUCCGAGUAGGACUCCGAGUUUGUUUAAGACCGAAUCCCGCGUGGUGCUGAGUUCGAGUUGGAAUCGGUUUGGAGUCUGAAUUGACAGCUGCCUUGUUGCUAUCUUGAGUCCAAAUCUGAUUUCUAUCAUUUUGGCAAAAGUUUGUGUGGUGUGUGACUCUUGUGAAGUCCUUUUGUUCAUAUAAUCAGAUUUGAGGAUCCCCUGAAAAAAAAAGAAGAAAAAAAAACAGAAGAAAAAAAAGAAGAAAAGAAAGACAAAAAAAAUAGGAAGAAAAGGGGCUGUUCGUUGUGCUUCCCUAUUGUUUUCCGGUGGUGUGUUGUGACUUCCUUUGUGUCCAGGCUCGCGUCUCUAGCACGGUCUAGGCUAGGACCAGCACAGUACCACCGUUGAACUAUUAUUCAGCUUGCUUUUGUGACUAACGUGGUGCUAGUAUAUUUCCUUGCUUAAGCCCACCUACAGCUCCACAUAUUCGACUACAGCUUGACAGGUUUUUUUGUUGCUGCGGCACCGAUACACUUCACUCCACGGUUGUAGACUUGUUGGUUGCCGUCACCUCCUGUUUGGCUUGGUAAGAACUUGUAAGGGCUUGUUUUUACAAGUUGAGUUUGAGAGAAUUACAACCGACACAUCCUAGUAGUUGACAGGAGGAUACAUAUUAUUUUUGUGUUUCUUGUUUUCUACUAAUCAUGGUAGGUGAUACGGAGAUUUUUGAGCUGUUGAAACUAGACUCUCAUAUUCAAGAUGUCAUUCAACAAUUGCCGUUAUAUGAUGGUAAGUUUGAUCCUAAAGCUUACAUUGAUUGGGAACUAAAAGUAGAUAAUGAAUUUGAUGAGCAUGACUUGUCCGAGAAACAAAAGAUUUAUAUUGCCUCUAAUAUUUUGACUGGAUUUGCUUUGCUAGAAUGGAAACACAUUUGUAGGCACAACAAAGUUCUAGAAUCUUGGGAAGACUUUAAAUUUCUUUUUAGAGAUGCAUUCAUUCCUGAAUAUUAUGCUGAUUAUUUGCUUGCUAAAUUAGACAACUUGAGGCAAGGUAGUAGGACUGUAAAAGAAUACUUCCAUGAUUUUAAAAUUUGUAUCAUGUAUGGUGGAUUAGAUGAGUGCAUGGAAGAUGUUAUGUGUAGGUUCAUGAGAGGGCUCAAUUCUGAAAUUCAAACCUUGUUGCUAAGCAAAUCAUACAUACAUAUUGGUCAAUUGUUUUGCCUUGCUCUCAAUGUUGAAAAGGAGAUUCUAUUAUCUGUGAAUACUUGCAAGAAUGAUGUGACCCAUUAUAUCCAAAAUUUGUCCACUCUCCAUGCUAAUGAAGAGCAACAAAUAGUGGAACCCAUUGCUGAUUUUCCUUUGUCACAAAAUGAAUUACUUGCUGUUCCUUGUGAUAAAGAGGACUUGUGUGCUGAUGAUUCUUUUACUCCUAUACCACAAGUAGUGAAUAAGUGUGAUACUUUGGGUUUGGAAUCAUACAAAUGUGCUGAAGAUAAGCUUUUUCAUCCUAUUACUUGUGCACAAGAUGAACUGAAUUUGCUAUCCUCUUUAAAUACUUUGGGUUACAUUGAAUUUGAUGUUUUGUGUAAUCUAAAUUGUCUAAAAGAGAAACUUCAAUUUGGUUCUGGUUUGCCAAGUUUUAAUCAUUGUUCGCUUCAUGCAAUUGGCAAAUAUAAUAGCAAAGGAGAGUAUUUGGUGCAUAAAGUUUAUGUUUGCUCCACUCUGAAAUAUCCUUUUAGGCUACAAUACCAUGAUCAAAUAGAGGGCUGCACUAACACUAAUAAUGUCUUGCAAAGUUUUUCUAGUUUUUCCCAUAUGCAACAGGGUAAGACCAAAGAAGGGGAGCAUUACUGGUUGUGGCCAUGCAGCAUGGCCGUCGCUCCGUGCUCCAACAUCAAAACAAGCACCUUAGAAUGCCAUUGGAGCAAGUCGAGGAUGACUUGCAGCCAAGAAGGGGAGAAUGAUGAGGACAUCACAUGCUCGGAUACAACCAUAUUGGCAUCUUUUGACUCCG